CUUGAAAAAGGGAGUUCAAGAAGAGCUUCGAAGAAGCUUUCUUGAUGGAGGGGAGUGGCAGACGGGUGAGUAACGCGUGGGAACAUACCCUUAUCUUCGGAACAACUCCGGGAAACUGGAGCUAAUACCGAAUGUGCCCUUAGGGGGAAAGAUUUAUCGGAUAAGGAUUGGCCCGCGUUGGAUUAGCUAGUUGGUGGGGUAAAGGCCUACCAAGGCGACGAUCCAUAGCUGGUCUGGGAGGAUGAUCAGCCACAUUGGGACUGAGACACGGCCCAAACUCCUACGGGAGGCAGCAGUGGGGAAUAUUGGACAAUGGGCGCAAGCCUGAUCCAGCCAUGCCGCGUGAGUGAUGAAGGCCUUAGGGUUGUAAAGCUCUUUCACCGGAGAAGAUAAUGACGGUAUCCGGAGAAGAAGCCCCGGCUAACUUCGUGCCAGCAGCCGCCGUAA
Molecule: ribosomal RNA, 447 nt
Filed under: uncultured bacterium
Lineage: Bacteria
Description: partial 16S ribosomal RNA
Rfam family: Bacterial small subunit ribosomal RNA
Source: RNAcentral